GUGAGUAGGGAGCAGCCUAGGUCGGGUACUAGCAGCCAGUAGUGAGUAGGGAGCAGCUAGGUGAGCAGGGAGCAGCUAGGUGAGUACAGAGCAGCAGUAGUGAGUAGGGAGCAGCUAGGUGGGUACGAGCAGCAGUAGUGAGUAGGGAGCAGCUAGGUGAGUAUGGAGCAGCAGUAGUGAGCAGGGAGCAGCUAGGUGAGCAGGGAGCAGCUAGGUGAGUACGGAGCAGCAGUAGUGAGUAGGGAGCAGCUAGGUGAGUACGGUGCAGCAGUAGUGAGUAGGGAGCAGCUAGGUGAGUAUGGAGCAGCAGUAGUGAGCAGGAGCAGCUAGGUGAGCAGGGAGCAGCUAGGUGAGUACGGAGCAGCAGUAGUGAGUAGGGAGCAGCUAGGUGAGUACGGAGCAGCAGUAGUGAGUAGGGAGCAGCUAGGUGAGUACGGAGCAGCAGUAGUGAGUAGGGCGCAGCUAGGUGAGUACGGUGCAGCAGUAGUGAGUAGGGAGCAGCUAGGUGAGUACGGUGCAGCAGAGUGAGUAGGGAGCAUCUAGGUGAGUAUGAGCAGCAGUAGUGAGUAGGGAGCAGCUAGGUGAGUACGUGCAGCAGUAGUGAGUAGGGAGAAGCAGUAGUGAGUAGGGAGCAGUAUGUCUGUCUAUAAUAAGGUGUAGAAUACUACAUAUGUUGGCCCUAUAGGAGGAUUAAGCAAUUUUGGGAAAUACUAACAAAUAAUUGUUGGACUACUGUAAUUUAUCUAUAUCCUCUUACACGUCAGUGCUCCUGAUAGUAGAACAUACAGACUGUCAACCUGUUCUGUUUGCUCUUGAUAAACACCUGUUGUUACUGUUCUCUGAGGAUUUCCUGCCACACACAGCCGGUGGGCGCGUCAAGGCACACAGAGAGGCCGUCACUACUGUACCACAUGUUUCCUGUAACAACAGCAGAAAAGAACC
Salvelinus sp. IW2-2015 is the source of this 942-nucleotide non-coding RNA. Lineage: Eukaryota; Metazoa; Chordata; Actinopteri; Salmoniformes; Salmonidae. The record is from RefSeq and is a predicted model, not a curated record.